Molecule: ribosomal RNA, 424 nt
Filed under: Verrucomicrobiota bacterium
Lineage: Bacteria; Pseudomonadati; Verrucomicrobiota
Description: Verrucomicrobia bacterium partial 16S ribosomal RNA
Rfam family: Bacterial small subunit ribosomal RNA
Source: RNAcentral
UGAGGAAUAUUGGUCAAUGGACGCAAGUCUGAACCAGCCAAGUAGCGUGCAGGAUGACGGCCCUAUGGGUUGUAAACUGCUUUUAUAUGGGGAUAAAGUGGGGAACGUGUUCCCUUUUGCAGGUACCAUAUGAAUAAGGACCGGCUAAUUCCGUGCCAGCAGCCGCGGUAAUACGGAAGGUUCGGGCGUUAUCCGGAUUUAUUGGGUUUAAAGGGAGCGUAGGCCGUUUGGUAAGCGUGUUGUGAAAUGUAGGAGCUCAACUUCUAGAUUGCAGCGCGAACUGUCAGACUGGAGUGCGCACAACGUAGGCGGAAUUCAUGGUGUAGCGAUGAAAUGCUUAGAUAUCAUGAAGAACUCCGAUUGCGAAGGCAGCUUACGGGAGCGCAACUAACGCUGAAGCUCGAAGGUGCGGGUAUCGAACAGG